GUAAAGGGAAAAUUGUUUUUUCCUCCCCUACACAGCUUUUUUGACAAAUAGAAGUUUCAAAUUAAGGGAAAAAGCAGCAUGAAACUAUGCAGCCAUUCUCCCUGUGGACGAUAAAACAUGAGUUGAAGAAGUCACGGGCUUAUGACUGCUGUCAUAUGAAGACUCACAACUGCAGCAAAUCUACUGAAACACUGAUGUUAACCCAAGACAUCACAGGAAUUGAGAUUUUUCCCUUGUUGAG
This 241-nucleotide long non-coding RNA is filed under the name Microcebus murinus (gray mouse lemur). Its description in RNAcentral is "lncRNA (ENSMICG00000048372.1)". The record is from RNAcentral. Lineage: Eukaryota; Metazoa; Chordata; Mammalia; Primates; Cheirogaleidae.